This 221-nucleotide long non-coding RNA is filed under the name Elaeis guineensis (African oil palm). Its description in RNAcentral is "long non-coding RNA (EGUI_LNC040457)". The record is from RNAcentral. Lineage: Eukaryota; Viridiplantae; Streptophyta; Magnoliopsida; Arecales; Arecaceae.
ACAUUGUGGAUCAAAUGGAAGCCACAAAAAUCCCAGAAGAAUUGGGAAAAAUAGCAAACAAGCCCUCGAGGAAGCUAAAUGAACAGAACACGAAGAAGAAAGGAUAGGAAAAUGACAAGAAGUUUCGAAACUAACCUAGAUUGGCCCCAGGAGUGCAGGAAGAUGGCAAGGAUGAUGAAAGUCGAUCCGGAGGAUGCCUAAGGCCGAGGAGGAUGCUAGAG